CCCCCCUGGCCCGCCGCUGUGGCGGGCCCGUCCACCUUGCGGAAAGAGUACUCCACCGAGAAGUUGUUCUUGUGCUGCCCGCGGCCGCGGCUCCACACAAAGAGGAGCAGGAAGCAGAAGAGGACGACACCCAGGAAGGCAGGAGAGAGUCUUGGCAGUUCAUCCGGCUAGGAUUCAAAACACAGCGCUGUUUUCACUGGACCUGCAAUGCUCGUUUCCUCUCAUUCAUCGAUUCCAUCCACCUGUCAGUCAACAAACGUCUACCGUGCCAGGCAUCUUCCAAGUGCUGGGGACACAGAGAGCCUGAGACAAACAGGUCAGCUUUCUGGGAGCCGACAGAUAAUAAAAGAGGUAAAUACAGGCUCUUCUACCUCCGGCGGCCAUAAAUGAAGAGGAAUAAAUCAGGAAGAUGACAGCGGGGUGUUGAGGGGAUUGUAAUCAUCAUCAUCAAUUUACUGAGGAAAGAUGGUUGUGCAAAGAGUUAGGGAGGGAGAGAGGGGGCCUAGCAGAUAGGGGG
This is a long non-coding RNA of Bubalus bubalis (water buffalo), 517 nucleotides long. RefSeq lists it as uncharacterized. NCBI's taxonomy places the organism in Eukaryota, Metazoa, Chordata, Mammalia, Artiodactyla, Bovidae. The record is from RefSeq and is a predicted model, not a curated record. The transcript has 2 exons.